This 759-nucleotide ribosomal RNA is filed under the name Klebsiella pneumoniae. RNAcentral's name for it is "partial 23S ribosomal RNA". It matches the Rfam family "Bacterial large subunit ribosomal RNA", at positions 167 to 968 of the family's 2925-position model. Lineage: Bacteria; Pseudomonadati; Pseudomonadota; Gammaproteobacteria; Enterobacterales; Enterobacteriaceae. The record is from RNAcentral.
UAGGUUAACGAGGCGAACCGGGGGAACUGAAACAUCUAAGUACCCCGAGGAAAAGAAAUCAACCGAGAUUCCCCCAGUAGCGGCGAGCGAACGGGGAGCAGCCCAGAGUCUGAAUCAGCUUGUGUGUUAGUGGAACGGUCUGGAAAGUCCGACGGUACAGGGUGAUAGUCCCGUACACCAAAAUGCACAGGUUGUGAACUCGAAGAGUAGGGCGGGACACGUGGUAUCCUGUCUGAAUAUGGGGGGACCAUCCUCCAAGGCUAAAUACUCCUGACUGACCGAUAGUGAACCAGUACCGUGAGGGAAAGGCGAAAAGAACCCCGGCGAGGGGAGUGAAAAAGAACCUGAAACCGUGUACGUACAAGCAGUGGGAGCACCUUCGGGUGUGACUGCGUACCUUUUGUAUAAUGGGUCAGCGACUUAUAUUCUGUAGCAAGGUUAACCGUAUAGGGGAGCCGCAGGGAAACCGAGUCUUAACUGGGCGUUAAGUUGCAGGGUAUAGACCCGAAACCCGGUGAUCUAGCCAUGGGCAGGUUGAAGGUUGGGUAACACUAACUGGAGGACCGAACCGACUAAUGUUGAAAAAUUAGCGGAUGACUUGUGGCUGGGGGUGAAAGGCCAAUCAAACCGGGAGAUAGCUGGUUCUCCCCGAAAGCUAUUUAGGUAGCGCCUCGUGAAUUCAUCUUCGGGGGUAGAGCACUGUUUCGGCUAGGGGGUCAUCCCGACUUACCAACCCGAUGCAAACUACGAAUACCGAAG